ACACUCCUGCGGGAGGCAGCAGUGGGGAAUUUUGGACAAUGGGCGAAAGCCUGAUCCAGCAAUGCCGCGUGAGUGAAGAAGGCCUUCGGGUUGUAAAGCUCUUUUGUCAGGGAAGAAACGGUGAGAGCUAAUAUCUUUUGCUAAUGACGGUACCUGAAGAAUAAGCACCGGCUAACUACGUGCCAGCAGCCGCGGUAAUACGUAGGGUGCAAGCGUUAAUCGGAAUUACUGGGCGUAAAGCGUGCGCAGGCGGUUUUGUAAGUCUGAUGUGAAAUCCCCGGGCUCAACCUGGGAAUUGCAUUGGAGACUGCAAGGCUAGAAUCUGGCAGAGGGGGGUAGAAUUCCACGUGUAGCAGUGAAAUGCGUAGAUAUGUGGAGGAACACCGAUGGCGAAGGCAGCCCCCUGGGUCAAGAUUGACGCUCAUGCACGAAAGCGUGGGGAGCAAACAGGAUUAGAAACCCGUGUAGUCCCA
RNAcentral lists this ribosomal RNA (473 nucleotides) under uncultured organism. RNAcentral describes it as "partial 16S ribosomal RNA". It matches the Rfam family "Bacterial small subunit ribosomal RNA", at positions 333 to 797 of the family's 1533-position model. The record is from RNAcentral.